CACCGGCGGCUCGAGUGGUGGCCACUUUUAUUGGGUCUAAAGCGUCCGUAGCCGGCUUGGCAAGUCCCCUGGGAAAUCUGGCGGCUUAACCGUCAGGCGUCCAGAGGAUACUGCCAGGCUUGGGACCGGGAGAGGUGAGAGGUACCUCAGGGGUAGAGGUGAAAUCUUGUGAUCCCUGAGGGACCACCAGUGGCGAAGGCGUCUCACUAGAACGGGUCCGACGGUCAGGGACGAAAGCUGGGGGCACGAACCGG
RNAcentral lists this ribosomal RNA (254 nucleotides) under uncultured microorganism. Its description in RNAcentral is "partial 16S ribosomal RNA". It matches the Rfam family "Archaeal small subunit ribosomal RNA", at positions 474 to 727 of the family's 1478-position model. The record is from RNAcentral.